Molecule: ribosomal RNA, 254 nt
Filed under: uncultured Staphylococcus sp.
Lineage: Bacteria; Bacillati; Bacillota; Bacilli; Caryophanales; Staphylococcaceae
Description: partial 16S ribosomal RNA
Rfam family: Bacterial small subunit ribosomal RNA
Source: RNAcentral
CUGAUGUUAGCGGCGGACGGGUGAGUAACACGUGGGUAACCUACCUAUAAGACUGGGAUAACUUCGGGAAACCGGAGCUAAUACCGGAUAACAUUUGGAACCGCAUGGUUCUAAAGUGAAAGAUGGUUUUGCUAUCACUUAUAGAUGGACCCGCGCCGUAUUAGCUAGUUGGUAAGGUAACGGCUUACCAAGGCGACGAUACGUAGCCGACCUGAGAGGGUGAUCGGCCACACUGGAACUGAGACACGGUCCAG